CUGGGGUGGGGACAGAGUGCAGAAGGGAAAGAAAGAGAGAGAGGGAUACACAGGGACUUGCACUCGAACGGUCAGAUUUCUAGUAAGCCUCAUUGCAAAGGGCAAAGCUAUGAAUGAAUGAACCAGGAAGGAGCAAAACAGCUGGAGAUAGGCAGAGGAAUGGGUGUAAAGCUCUUAAAAAUAUCCAAAGCAAGGACCCUAAAGGGAACUAAAGUGAAGGAGAGGGGUAUUAGUCAUUCCAGGAAGACUGAGCUGUGGGAGGGAAUUUAAGUAGCAUGCCCCGAAAGGGAAGGAGCGGGAGUCUAAGAAAUUAUGUAAGUGAGAAAUAGGAAAGGGGGAACUCCCCUCCCCUCCCAUCACUCACACACUCACUCACACACAGUAAGCUGCUCAGAAGCCUUUUUAACUGGCUGAGAGAAUCUUCCAGGCCCCCAAAACCUGGCCACUCACUGCAUGACAUUUCUGACCACACCAGCUGCAGCUUCCUCGCGGGACUCUCUAAAUAGACUAAAUGCCCCAUGGUGAAGCUGCCUGCAGAAUGAACCCCCGUUUGGGGCCUGGAGCGAUGCAGGGACCGAGCACGAGGAAGAGGAGAAAGACACCUGCAACGUCCCCCAGUGAAGGUAAGGCACCGUGAAGCGGACUCCAUUGCAAGCAGCUGGAGCUGCACAUGCUCACAUGGAUACAGGGGCUGCACCCUGCUCUGGCUGGUCAAACGGAACCAAGUCCGUCUUCCUUGGAGGUUUGGUCCCCUUCAACCAGCUACAGCAGUGCUGAAAUCGUCCGGCCGUUGGAGGAAGACACCUCCCCCACCCAUCAACUCAUCCCCACAGGACUUUCCUCCUAAAUGUGCAUUUGAUUCUUGUUAGCAUGUUCUGCAUACAGCGCACAUGGGAGGAGGGUGCUGAUCCUUAUGGGCAAUGUCUUGAUUAUACCUACUGGGCAAGGUCCUCAGGGGUUAUCUGAGCUACACUCAGAGCACCUGGCCAAGAGGGUGGUGGCAACAGGGGGCUUUCUGCCCCCUUUCCAGUCUCCUGAUCCUAGGGGAAAUCUGGGGGCUACUUCAGCCCCCAGCACAAGUGAGAGCAGCCUUAAGGCUGCUCUAACUUGCAGUGGCCCAGGCUCACUGAACUCCAGCCAAGUCCUUCCAUCCUUCAGCAUGUCAGCAAAAUACUCCCUACGCCCCGGGGACCAAGAGCAACUGGAGUAGAGCUAGCAAGCUCCUACACAAGGGUGAUUCCCAGCAGUACUGGAUUUCCAAUUAGGCACAGUAAGCACAUGCCUUGGGGCACUGCCAUUCUAGGGGCCCCUAAAAGUGGGUUAAAAGUUAAAAAGUUAAUAUAGUAGAAACCUCAGAGAUAGACACCUCAGGGAAUGGAGGUUGUGCGUAACUCUGAAGAGGCGGUUACAGACUUCAGCCACAUGUCGGGUUGGGGCUGCAGUCGCAGGGUUGGGGGGAAGUGUCAGGGCUCCAGGUACUGGUCAGGACUUCUGACUUUUGGGGCACCAAGGCUUCAGGCAGGGGGCUCAGGGCUUCUGCCCCACUGGAGCACUGGGGUUCAGUGCUUUAGACCUGGGGGGAGCACUGAGAUCAGGGCUUCAGUCCUAUGACUUCAUUCCUAGUUUCAGCCUCGCAGGGGGCCCUGGGGCUCCCCAUGUCUCUGCUCCUGGCUUCAACGGGGCUCAGGGCACGCCAGGGCUUGGGGCUUUAGCUACCGGGGUGGGAGAGGAGAGGCAGGGUAGUACUGGGACUGAAACUAGUGCUCCCCUUGUAGCUAAAGCCCCAGUGACCCCUGUGGGCCCCCAAGAGGUUUUUCAGACCCAAAGGCUCCACCACAUACUUUCAGUCUGCGUGACUUGGUAGAGAAUAAAAAAAGUAUGAAGACAAAAGAGGUAUAGUCUCCAUGAGAGCAGAGUGUGUGUUCUCUCACUUACAAGCUGUAUUUAAACAAACUGGCAGCCACUUCCAAGAGCGGCCGAUGCCUAGCAACGUAAGCAUGUGUGGCACACACAAAACAGUUACAUAACCGCAUACCCUGCAACACACACAGAAACACACACACAAAGUUCUCCCUUCACACACACAUGCCGCACAAGUGAUGGAUUCAGAGAGAAAAAAAAUAGCCUGGGAGCUUAUUUAUUUCCCAAGCAUCAAUAGAAGAUGCGGGUUCCCUGAAAAUCAGUGCCUGAAUAUGGAUUUCAAUGCCUAACCUUUGACACACAACUCGGAAAACGUUGGCCAGUGUUCAAAGGUUCAAGUCUGUCAUUAAAUAAAAUAAGGCAUAAGGUACACAAGUCCUUUGUUGGUUUAAUAAAAAAGUAGCAUGUGCAUAA
This is a long non-coding RNA of Malaclemys terrapin pileata, 2334 nucleotides long. RefSeq lists it as uncharacterized. The transcript has 2 exons. The record is from RefSeq and is a predicted model, not a curated record. NCBI's taxonomy places the organism in Eukaryota, Metazoa, Chordata, Testudines, Emydidae.